RNAcentral lists this ribosomal RNA (911 nucleotides) under uncultured bacterium. Its description in RNAcentral is "bacterial SSU rRNA". It matches the Rfam family "Bacterial small subunit ribosomal RNA", at positions 8 to 906 of the family's 1533-position model. The record is from RNAcentral.
AGAGUUUGAUCCUGGCUCAGGAUGAACGCUGGCGGCGUGCCUAAUACAUGCAAGUCGAGCGAACAGAUGAGGAGCUUGCUCCUUUGACGUUAGCGGCGGACGGGUGAGUAACACGUAGGUAACCUACCUAUAAGACUGGGAUAACUUCGGGAAACCGGAGCUAAUACCGGAUAAUAUUUCGAACUGCAUGGUUCGAUAGUGAAAGAUGGCUUUGCUAUCACUUAUAGAUGGACCUGCGCCGUAUUAGCUAGUUGGUAAGGUAACGGCUUACCAAGGCAACGAUACGUAGCCGACCUGAGAGGGUGAUCGGCCACACUGGAACUGAGACACGGUCCAGACUCCUACGGGAGGCAGCAGUAGGGAAUCUUCCGCAAUGGGCGCAAGCCUGACGGAGCAACGCCGCGUGAGUGAUGAAGGUCUUCGGAUCGUAAAACUCUGUUAUUAGGGAAGAACAAACGUGUAAGUAACUGUGCACGUCUUGACGGUACCUAAUCAGAAAGCCACGGCUAACUACGUGCCAGCAGCCGCGGUAAUACGUAGGUGGCAAGCGUUAUCCGGAAUUAUUGGGCGUAAAGCGCGCGUAGGCGGUUUUUUAAGUCUGAUGUGAAAGCCCACGGCUCAACCGUGGAGGGUCAUUGGAAACUGGAAAACUUGAGUGCAGAAGAGGAAAGUGGAAUUCCAUGUGUAGCGGUGAAAUGCGCAGAGAUAUGGAGGAACACCAGUGGCGAAGGCGACUUUUCUGGCCAUUAACUGACGCUGAGGUACGAAAGCGUGGGUAGCAAACAGGAUUAGAUACCCUGGUAGUCCACGCCGUAAACGAUGAGUGUUAGUGUCUGGAGUAAAUCUGGGUGCCGCAGCUAACGCAUUAAACACUCCGCCUGGGGAGUACGCACGCAGUGUGAAACUCAAAG